Molecule: ribosomal RNA, 465 nt
Filed under: uncultured bacterium
Lineage: Bacteria
Description: partial 16S ribosomal RNA
Rfam family: Bacterial small subunit ribosomal RNA
Source: RNAcentral
CCUACGGGAGGCAGCAGUAGGGAAUCUUCCACAAUGAGCGAAAGCCUGAUGGAGCACCGCCGCGUGGGUGAAGAAGGUCUUCGGAUCGUAACACCCUGUUGUUAGAGAAGAAAGUGCGUGAGAGUAACUGUUCACGUUUCGACGGUAUAUAAACAGAAAGCCACGGCUAACUACGUUCCAGCAGCCGCGGUAAUACGUAGGUGGCAAGCGUUAUCCGGAUUUAUUGGGCGUAAAGGGAACGCAGGCGGUCUGUUAAGUCUGAUGUGAAAGCCUUCGGCUUAACCGGAGUAGUGCAUUGGAAACGGGGAGACUUGAGUGCAGAAGAGGAGAGUGGAACACCAUGUGUAGCGGUGAAAUGCGUAGAUAUAUGGAAGAACACCAGUGGCGAAAGCGGCUCUCUGGUCUGUAACUGACGCUGAGGUUCGAAAGCGUGGGUAGCAAACAGGAUUAGAUACCCCUGUAGUC